AAGAGAUUAGCUCAGUGGAAGAGCAAUCGUUUUACACGCGAUAUUGCAAGGGUUCAAUUCCUUUAUCUCUUA
Molecule: transfer RNA, 72 nt
Filed under: Pneumocystis canis
Lineage: Eukaryota; Fungi; Ascomycota; Pneumocystomycetes; Pneumocystales; Pneumocystaceae
Description: tRNA-Val
Rfam family: tRNA
About the family: Transfer RNA (tRNA) molecules are approximately 80 nucleotides in length. Their secondary structure includes four short double-helical elements and three loops (D, anti-codon, and T loops).
Source: RNAcentral